This 497-nucleotide ribosomal RNA is filed under the name uncultured bacterium. RNAcentral's name for it is "partial 16S ribosomal RNA". It matches the Rfam family "Bacterial small subunit ribosomal RNA", at positions 28 to 507 of the family's 1533-position model. The record is from RNAcentral.
GACGAACGCUGGCGGCAUGCCUAAUACAUGCAAGUCGAACGCUGAAGCACUCUGCUUGCAGAGUGCGGAUGAGUGGCGAACGGGUGAGUAACACGUGGGAAAUCUGCCUAUAAGAGGGGGAUAACAUUCGGAAACGGAUGCUAAUACCGCAUAUAUUCUUGGACCGCCUGGUCCUUGAAAGAAGGACGGCUUUGCUGUCGCUUAUAGAUGAUCCCGCGGCGUAUUAGUUAGUUGGUGGGGUAAAGGCCUACCAAGACAAUGAUACGUAGCCGACCUGAGAGGGUGAUCGGCCACACUGGGACUGAGACACGGCCCAGACUCCUACGGGAGGCAGCAGUAGGGAAUCUUCCACAAUGGGCGAAAGCCUGAUGGAGCAAUGCCGCGUGAAUGAAGAAGGUCUUCGGAUCGUAAAGUUCUGUUAUUAGAGAAGAACAAGUCAAGGAGUAACUGUCUUGACUUUGACGGUACCUAACCAGAAAGUCACGGCUAACUACGUG